Molecule: ribosomal RNA, 402 nt
Filed under: uncultured Methanosaeta sp.
Lineage: Archaea; Methanobacteriati; Methanobacteriota; Methanomicrobia; Methanotrichales; Methanotrichaceae
Description: bacterial SSU rRNA
Rfam family: Archaeal small subunit ribosomal RNA
Source: RNAcentral
CGACAGCAAUAUGAAGGUCAGGCUGAAGACCUUACCCGAUUAGCUGAGAGGUGGUGCAUGGCCGUCGUCAGUUCGUACUGUGAAGCAUCCUGUUAAGUCAGGCAACGAGCGAGACCCACGUCCACAGUUGCCAGCAUACCCUCCGGGGUGAUGGGUACACUGUGGAGACCGCCGCUGCUAAAGCGGAGGAAGGAGUGGGCAACGGUAGGUCAGUAUGCCCCGAAUCUCCCGGGCUACACGCGGGCUACAAUGGUUGGUACAAUGGGCAUCUACCCCGAAAGGGGAAGGAAAUCUCUUAAAGCCAAUCGUAGUUCGGAUUGAGGGCUGCAACUCGCCCUCAUGAAGCUGGAAUCCGUAGUAAUCGCGUUUCAACAGAACGCGGCGAAUACGUCCCUGCUCCUU